RNAcentral lists this ribosomal RNA (579 nucleotides) under uncultured bacterium. RNAcentral's name for it is "bacterial SSU rRNA". It matches the Rfam family "Bacterial small subunit ribosomal RNA", at positions 61 to 630 of the family's 1533-position model. The record is from RNAcentral.
GUCGAGCGAACCGAUGGAGUGCUUGCAUUCCUGAGGUUAGCGGCGGACGGGUGAGUAACACGUAGGCAACCUGCCUGUACGACCGGGAUAACUCCGGGAAACCGGAGCUAAUACCGGAUAGGAUGCCGAACCGCAUGGUUCGGCAUGGAAAGGCCUUUGAGCCGCGUACAGAUGGGCCUGCGGCGCAUUAGCUAGUUGGUGGGGUAACGGCCUACCAAGGCGACGAUGCGUAGCCGACCUGAGAGGGUGAACGGCCACACUGGGACUGAGACACGGCCCAGACUCCUACGGGAGGCAGCAGUAGGGAAUCUUCCGCAAUGGACGAAAGUCUGACGGAGCAACGCCGCGUGAGUGAGGAAGGUCUUCGGAUCGUAAAACUCUGUUGUCAGGGAAGAACCGCCGGGAUGACCUCCCGGUCUGACGGUACCUGACGAGAAAGCCCCGGCUAACUACGUGCCAGCAGCCGCGGUAAUACGUAGGGGGCAAGCGUUGUCCGGAAUUAUUGGGCGUAAAGCGCGCGCAGGCGGCUUCUUAAGUCAGGUGUGAAAGCCCACGGCUCAACCGUGGAGGGCCAUCUGA